RNAcentral lists this long non-coding RNA (3263 nucleotides) under Triticum aestivum (bread wheat). RNAcentral describes it as "long non-coding RNA (TAES_LNC006055)". The record is from RNAcentral. Lineage: Eukaryota; Viridiplantae; Streptophyta; Magnoliopsida; Poales; Poaceae.
GUCUAGAUCAUUAUUAUCCUUGGCCUGUUCAGACCCAUCGUCGGCCCAAGUUGCCAAUAUUUGAUCCACACAAAAAAGUAAAGAAUCUCCAUUUAGCAAAGAAAAACAAUUAUAUAGUGCACAAAUACGGAUUUACAACUACAAAAUUCAUAUCACCAUAACAGAUUACAAUUACAUAUCACAAUCACACUGGAGGUCUAGAUACUUCAUACAUAUAAUCUGUGUUGUUCCUUGCCUGUAGUAUCAUUUGUUCCAUCCCAAGUGGAGUUACCCUUCUAAACUAAACUCGAGUGUAAUAUCUUCUGUUCUACCUCAAUUACCUACAAAAGAAUAGCAGAAAACAAAUUGUGAGAACUAUUAGCGUGAGGAAUAAUUUAUGUGAAACAUUCACCCAAACAUUUAUUUAAAAUGAUAGUGAUUAGCUCGCCCACAAUAAAAUGACAGGAACAAGGAACAAUAUACAGCAACAUCAAAUUCUUCAGUCAACAUGCCCAUUUUUAGCAGCAAGCAAACAAGAAUUUUGGCAUGCAAAAAGAACACAUAUGCUUGUCUUAGUAUCACAGAAAGAAAUCAAAUUUGAAUAUUAGUAGUGAGAUGGUUGGUGGAAUAUCUAUCCUAGCAAAUUAGAGCACAAGUCAGUUGAUAUGUGGCUAGUACAAAUCUUUCCUGGGACAUUUGAAAGAAAUGUCCUAUUGAAACAAAGAACAUGAAAUGAUUAAACAUGUACAUUUCAGUCAAUAUGUCUAUUGAGAUAUCUAUCUAUACUACUAUAUAGUGUACAAGUUUUAAACUUGCGAAUUUCAAGGCCAAAAAGAAAAGUGAGUCAUUGAUAGUAUCCAUCGAACAGCUCAAAAUGGUGGGAUUCACAGCUACAUUAGUGGCUAUAGUACAAACGAAGGCACUACUAAUUUCUAGAACCAUCGUAUCAGCCAACAUAGGAAAAGUUCACUUAUGUAUGAGAUUAUCCGUUCAUGCAUAGCUGGUCACGGCACACGCACUGACAGCCAGACCGCGACUGUCCGCGGCAUUGCACACUAAUGUAUCUCAUCAAUGAGAUUUGGAAGCUCUCAGUGAAGCUUUUUUAAGAUGGCUACAGUGCAAGAUACUAAUUCUAAAUAUGUGAAACUUUACAUACAAAUCAGAAUGGCUUCAACAAUGGACUCAAUGAAGCCAUACAUGCAAGAAGGUGUUGUAUUUGAAGGGUAAGAUUUGAAUCCAUCAAUUGAACCCUGCACGUGUUGUGCAUGUACCCGCCUACUAGUAUAUAUAAUAUUUCACUUAACCACUACAUAAAAUGAAAGAUAUAGAUUGAACCAUAAUCCAGAGCAAUAGUAUUUGGUACAAAAUGUUUUCCUUAAAAGGCCAACAACUCAAUGAACACACAGGUAAAAAGUAGGACCAGGAACAACUCUACUGACGAUGUAGUGAAAGCAAAAGACUCGGUUCAAAUAAACACAAAUAAUGGUUUAAAUGAUUUUGGUUCCCAGGUUAGUUAAUUAACUCAGGGGCAGAGCCAAUUUACUUUUGGCUAAAAGUUGUUGAUUGGUUGCUUGAAUGAAUGUAACUCUAUCAUGUGCAUGGGAAAUACUCUGAUGUACAUUGCCCUUCGUGGUGUCAGUACAUCUGCUAUAAAUUAAACUUCACCUCUAAGACUAAGAGGCCCCGUGCACAUUCAGAAUCUCAAACUGAAUUCUGCACUAUGAGGUUGAUACUUUUUUGAGUUGCUUGGCUCAACUUUUAUGAUCUCUAUCAUUGUUUGUAGCUCUGUUAGAGUUAUGUUGCCAGUUGUGUCUAGAGUCGCUGUAUAAAUAACACUAAUUACUUUUUAAACAAAUAAUUUGGUAUGUUCAUAGUUUAGAAUGACUAAGCACUGUUAGAUACGGUGCUUGCACACUGUUGCCUUUUACGUACGAGAUUAAGAAGUGCACUUUUCACUUGUCCCAAAAUGUGCUGUAACUAACUGCUAGAAGGUUAAUUUUACAUAAAAAAAGUAUCAUUUGGUUGCUAUCUACAUACACUUCCAGCUAGAUAAUUUUAGCAGAGGCUCUUGGGAGCUACAUAUUGUUAUUAUCUAUUAUUUGUCUAAAAGUAUUUUUUAUCUAUAGAUACAAUCUGCAGAGACAGUCUGUUUAUGAGUGCUACCUGUUCGAGCCACUACUUUUUUUGAUCAUUGGCUAAGAUAUCAAUAGUGAUACACUGAAAUAACUCCUCCAGAUUCUACUAUUUCUCUGAUAGUCUAAUUGAGGAUUAGUUUCAGUCUGUCUGCUUAGAUUACUCAAUAGUUGUACUUUCAGCAUACCAUUUUUUCAGUUUCAUAUAUACUCUACAUCAUAUUUUGAUACAUAUCGUUGACGUAUAUCUGUAAAGUAAAUUGACACAUAGAAACAAAACCCGACCUUGGAAACUAUGUAAGCACCCCACAUAUAUUCGUUACUAAUACAUGUUCAUGAAGAAAAGAUGUAAAUAUAUACAUUGAAAAAAGAUCAGUCACAUCAACAUUUAUGCAAAAUGCAAAACGUAAUACAUCAUCUUGCUAUCUUUCCAAAACAAUUAUUCCCUGCCACAAAAGUUACUUCACUGCAAAGCACUAUCCUGGCAUCCUAUAUGGAUAAUUAUUCAACUAAUUUGGAGCGAAAAGAGUUCUCACCUUCACAACAAGUGGUCCGGCGAGGUCACCUGUGGCGAUGCAAACAAGGCCAAGGAGAGUGCUGAAUAAAACAGUGGCCAACCCCUUCUCUCCUAGUGCGGAUUGUGAAGAAGACCGGAGCAUCGGGGCAGCCGUCCUUGGUCCUGGACAACGAGUAGGCGACAACGUCCAUCUCACCGACCUCAACAACCUUCCUCAUGACCACCGCCUCCAUGACGACGAGCCGGGGGCUGACCUUGACGCGGAUGCGGGAGCACCGCUACGGGCCUGUGUGCCCCCAUCGCGGAUCUGAGAGGCUUCAGAGGGGGAGAGUGUGGGGGCGGUGGAGGAGCGACAGAGGGUGGGAGACGGAGGUGGAGCGGGGUAUGGUUGGGGCGGCGGCGCGGGAGAUCGAGGGGGCGGCAGCUGCGCAUGGAGGGAGGCUUGGCAUGGAUCUGAAUCGGGAGCACAGAUGGAGAGGAGGCGGCGGCUGUGGGUGGAGGUGGAGGUGGAUUAGGGUUUCCGCGGUCUGGGGGAGAGGCGCGAGGCCGUGGCCUCUCGGGCUGGUGGGCUAUGGAGAUAAAUGGGUUGGCUCCCAAUAAUUUUAAAUCCCCGUGUCGACGACUUGAAUGUUUUC